Small nuclear RNA from Nycticebus coucang (slow loris), 107 nucleotides. The record is from RefSeq and is a predicted model, not a curated record. NCBI's taxonomy places the organism in Eukaryota, Metazoa, Chordata, Mammalia, Primates, Lorisidae.
GUACUUGCUUUUGCAGCACAUAUACUAAAAUUAGAAUGAUACAGAGAAGAUUAGCAUGGCCCCUGUGCGAGGAUGACAUGCAAAUUCAUCAAGUGUUCCAUAUUAUU